RNAcentral lists this small nuclear RNA (62 nucleotides) under Saimiri boliviensis boliviensis (Bolivian squirrel monkey). RNAcentral describes it as "U7 small nuclear RNA (ENSSBOG00000014196.1)". It matches the Rfam family "U7 small nuclear RNA". Rfam says of the family: Animal histone pre-mRNAs are spliced by a different mechanism than nuclear pre-mRNAs and self-splicing introns. This processing involves the U7 snRNP, which contains only one RNA species: U7. The record is from Rfam by way of RNAcentral. Lineage: Eukaryota; Metazoa; Chordata; Mammalia; Primates; Cebidae.
AAGUAUUACAGUUCUUUUAGAAUUCGUUUAGCAGGUUUUCUAGUGUUUACUUGAAAGCCCCU